Olea europaea var. sylvestris is the source of this 2121-nucleotide long non-coding RNA. RefSeq lists it as uncharacterized. Lineage: Eukaryota; Viridiplantae; Streptophyta; Magnoliopsida; Lamiales; Oleaceae. The transcript has 2 exons. The record is from RefSeq and is a predicted model, not a curated record.
AACUUUUUAUUAAUCUUGUUAAGGAAGUAAAUCACGUUAAUUUGGAAAAUAGUAUAACUAGAAUUUUUUGUGUUUCCAUUCUUAUGUCAUGUUACUAAAUAUGUACUCUUGUUAUUUUUCUGUAUAAUGAAAUUAGAGGGGAGGAAGAACUUUAACUUCUUCUCUCCAUUAUUCUUUUCCGCAUAGCGACAUGGUAUCAGAGCAUGGAUAUUCUAGGGUUUAGUACUUACCUCUGCUUCUGAAUUUUUUUUCCUUCUUUUUGACUCUAUAUAUCUAUAUCUUUCAUCUGUCUCUUCUUCCUUCCCUGUUCUGGUCGAAUAUAUGGUUGACAAUUGAGGAGUUUAUGACGUCGCCGGAGCUUGAGAUUGCAAGAGGUGACUGUCGAUUGUUCGUUCGGCAGUGUGUGGUAAAUCGAGUGGUUUUAAGGUGUCUGGCGGUUUUGAGUUGUCGAGUGGUGUUUAAGUUGCUCAUUUGGUUGACUGUGAGCAGUGGUGGUUGAGCUGCGUGUUUAUUUGACUGUUAGCAGAGGCGCGAAAAUUGGAACGUUGAAGAUUUCUGGGGUCAACGAACGUUGAAUUAUUGGCGGUGAGUAAUUGAUUUUUUUGUUGGUUAGGUCUGCUGAAAUAAUUGGACAGUGAGGCAGUGAGUGAUUUGUAGACUGUGAGCAAUUGGGCCAGUGUUAUGCUUUUAAUUUUGUGGGUCAAUUUGGUUGGGCCUUUAAUUUAUUCCAGUGGAUUUGGUUUGAGCCUUUAAUUUAUUCCGUUUCAUCAUGUCAUCCAGGAUGGAGAUAUUCAAUCUGACCGGACCUAUGGCGCUUGAAAAAUUGAAUGAAAGUAAUUACACUUAUUGGGCUAGGUGUGUCGAAGUCUUUUUACUAGGUAAAAGUUUAUUUAAUCACUUGACCUUAGACAAGCCAUCGUCUAAGACAUCAGAAAGUGAUUCUACUCUUAAUGAUUGGUGGGAUCAAGAGGAUAACGCUAUAAUUGGGCUUAUGAUCGGUAGCAUUAAACCUCAUAUAGGGUCUUCAUCCCUCUAUAUGACUACGGCGAAACAAAUUUGGGAGCAUCUCAAAAACAUACAUUCUGGAGCUAAAAAUGUUACCCGAAUUUAUGAGACAUGUAAGCAAUACUUUGGGCUUGAGAAGGGCUCUUCCAGCCUCGUUAAAUGUUAUAAUAAGUUUUGAGCUGUGUCAGUAAAGAAAUAUACAUCAACCUCUCUUUCUUGAUUUGAAAGUUAUGGAAAAAUAGCGUGAAGACAUCGAUGUUGUUAAAUUCUUUAUUGGUCUUUCGCUUGAGUUUGAAGAAGUCCGAGCACAGAUAUUAGGUGAAAAGGAGCUUCCCAAUCUUGCAGAGACAUUCUCUCGUAUUCAGCGUUCUACCUGCUACCUUAUCAGAUAGUACACCCAACGGAGGUCGUUCUGCUUUUAUUGCUCGGGGUGGCUCAUUUAGGGAUGAAUGUAAUAUUCGAAGUGGAUGUGGUUUUAGCCCUCGAGGUGGACGAUACACUAGAGGCAAUGCUCGUUCGGGAAAUCGUGACCCUCGAAAAUGUACUCACUGUGGUCGUAUUGGUCAUUCCGUUGAUUAUUGUUGGGAUGUACAUGGCAAACCAUCUGGCUUUGCCAAUCAGGUCUCAUCCAAUGAGGCCCAUAACUCUGUAUCUGGACCAGUGGCUAACUCUAGUUCAACAUCCGAAUCAGAUCUCUUAUCUGUCUUAUGGGACGAGUAUGCUGAGUUCUUAGCUCAUAAACAUGCUACUUCCAAUUUUAUGGCCACUCUCGCUCAGUCAGGAUCUCAAGACGAAGAUGAUGAUUGCAUGAAGUUGGUGGCUUGUAUUACCUAGAUCUUUCUCCAGUCUCUUAUCAUCGAGCUCUCCAGCCCUCUGUUUCACCUAUGCAAUGCCAUUGUCGUCUUGGUCACCUUUCUCUUUCCAGUGUAAAAUGUCAAGUUGUGAGUCUUUGUAACGUGCGCUUUCUUGAGUGUGAAGCUUGUCAGCUUAGCAAACAUCACCGUGUGUCUUUUCCUUUAAGAACUGUUAGUCGAGUUUCUAGUUUAUUUGAGAUAGUCCAUUCUGAUGUAUGUGGACCGAUAAAUAUUUUCUCUAAUAAAUUUCAAUAUUUUAUCA